UACCUGGCGUAUGCGCCAGACAUACAGUCCUCGAGCCGAUACUAUGAAACCGGAGGUUUCCUGAUACUGUAGGUGUGCAUGUCCGGCAUGGUCCGGGAAGCCUGAUACAGUACGGGGGCCACCACCUUGAACCGUCGGGUUCAAGGGCAGUGCUGUCAGCGGUAUGCCGGGAAU
This 174-nucleotide non-coding RNA is filed under the name uncultured Halioglobus sp. RNAcentral describes it as "6S / SsrS RNA". It matches the Rfam family "6S / SsrS RNA". Rfam says of the family: E. coli 6S RNA was the first non coding RNA to be sequenced, but its function was unknown until recently. It consists of 184 nucleotides that fold into an extended hairpin structure with a large single-stranded internal bulge. Lineage: Bacteria; Pseudomonadati; Pseudomonadota; Gammaproteobacteria; Cellvibrionales; Halieaceae. The record is from RNAcentral.